RNAcentral lists this ribosomal RNA (253 nucleotides) under uncultured bacterium. RNAcentral describes it as "partial 16S ribosomal RNA". It matches the Rfam family "Bacterial small subunit ribosomal RNA", at positions 524 to 776 of the family's 1533-position model. The record is from RNAcentral.
UACGUAGGGUGCAAGCGUUGUCCGGAAUUAUUGGGCGUAAAGAGCUCGUAGGCGGUUUGUUGCGUCGGCUGUGAAAUCCCGAGGCUCAACCUCGGGUCUGCAGUCGAUAUGAGCAAACUAGAGUGUUGCAGGGGAGACUGGAAUUCCUGGUGUAGCGGUGAAAUGCGCAGAUAUCAGGAGGAACACCGAUGGCGAAGGCAGGUCUCUGGGCCACUACUGACGCUGAGAAGCGAAAGCGUGGGGAGCGAACAGG